CGGAUCUCGAAAGCCUGUCCCAGUUCGGACUGGAGUCUGCAACCCGACUCCACGAAGUUGGAUUCGCUAGUAAUCGCGCAUCAGCCAUGGCGCGGUGAAUACGUUCCCGGGCCUUGUACACACCGCCCGUCAAGCCAUGGGAGCCGGGGGCGCCUGAAGUCCGGGACCGCGAGGACCGGCCUAGGGCGGAACUGGUAACUGGGGCUAAGUCGUAACAAGGUAUC
This 224-nucleotide ribosomal RNA is filed under the name uncultured bacterium. Its description in RNAcentral is "partial 16S ribosomal RNA". It matches the Rfam family "Bacterial small subunit ribosomal RNA", at positions 1268 to 1500 of the family's 1533-position model. The record is from RNAcentral.